UCCGCGGUAGCUCAAUUGGCAGAGCGCUCGGCUGUUAACCGAAUGGUUGGAGGUUCGAGUCCUCCCCGCGGAGCCA
RNAcentral lists this transfer RNA (76 nucleotides) under bacterium. RNAcentral's name for it is "tRNA-Asn". It matches the Rfam family "tRNA". From Rfam's summary of the family: Transfer RNA (tRNA) molecules are approximately 80 nucleotides in length. Their secondary structure includes four short double-helical elements and three loops (D, anti-codon, and T loops). The record is from RNAcentral. RNAcentral also lists the same sequence under 3 other names.